Molecule: ribosomal RNA, 497 nt
Filed under: uncultured bacterium
Lineage: Bacteria
Description: partial 16S ribosomal RNA
Rfam family: Bacterial small subunit ribosomal RNA
Source: RNAcentral
GAUGAACGCUGGCGGCGUGCCUAAUACAUGCAAGUCGAGCGAACGGACGAGGAGCUUGCUUCUCUGAUGUUAGCGGCGGACAGGUGAGUAACACGUGGAUAACCUACCUAUAAGACUGGGAUAACUUCGGGAAACCGGAGCUAAUACCGGAUAAUAUUUUGAACCGCAUGGUUCAAAAGUGAAAGACGGUCUUGCUGUCACUUAUAGAUGGAUCCGCGCUGCAUUAGCUAGUUGGUAAGGUAACGGCUUACCAAGGCAACGAUGCGUAGCCGACCUGAGAGGGUGAUCGGCCACACUGGAACUGAGACACGGUCCAGACUCCUACGGGAGGCAGCAGUAGGGAAUCUUCCGCAAUGGGCGAAAGCCUGACGGAGCAACGCCGCGUGAGUGAUGAAGGUCUUCGGAUCGUAAAACUCUGUUAUUAGGGAAGAACAUAUGUGUAAGUAACUGUGCACAUCUUGACGGUACCUAAUCAGAAAGCCACGGCUAACUACGUG